UACGAGGGGUGCAAACGUUAUUCGGAUUUACUGGGCGUAAAGGGUGCGUAGACGGCGCAUUAAGUUCGUUGUUAAAUCUUUCGGCCUAACCGGAAGCUUGCGAUGAAAACUAAUGUGCUUGAGGAUGGAAGAGAGAAGUGGAAUUCUUGGAGUAGCGGUAAAAUGCGUAGAUCUCAAGAGGAACACCGAUGGCGAAGGCAGCUUCUUGGUCCACUCCUGACGUUGAGGCACGAAAGCGUGGGUAGCAAACAGG
This 253-nucleotide unclassified non-coding RNA is filed under the name uncultured bacterium. RNAcentral describes it as "contains 16S-23S intergenic spacer region". It matches the Rfam family "Bacterial small subunit ribosomal RNA", at positions 524 to 776 of the family's 1533-position model. The record is from RNAcentral.